This is a long non-coding RNA of Myotis davidii, 910 nucleotides long. RefSeq lists it as uncharacterized. The transcript has 3 exons. The record is from RefSeq and is a predicted model, not a curated record. Lineage: Eukaryota; Metazoa; Chordata; Mammalia; Chiroptera; Vespertilionidae.
UGGAAUCGAGCCUGCAAGCCUUCAGUCCGAGGGCAGAUGCUCUAUCCACUGAACCAAACGGGCUGGGGCUGGCCAGUGCUUCUUUGAAGGAGCGGGUGCCUUCCACCUCUGACCAGUUCCCAGAAGCUUCUCUCAGAACGUGUUCCCUGAGCCAUCCAGCUUUUCUUUUAAAUUUCAAAUUUGAUUUUUGAAAUAGAUGGUAAAAUUGGAAGAGUCACAGCGUGCUGGAGCCGGGAGGAACCUUCCAGAUCCCUCUGGGCUGGGCUGCUUAUCUCAACAGCAGCAGCCCCACAUCUCUGAGGCAGCAAAGCUAAAAGCUGUCGUUUCAAGGUGGGGAAACAGGCCCAGGAAAGGACUCUAGCAAGAGGGUGACUGAAUGGAGACCCGGAUGCAGGUGUCCUGACCUGUUCCAUGCCCCAUGCCCUGGGCCAUGCUGUGGGUUGGCACAGGAGGGGCCAGCCUCGUGGGCUGCCCACCAGCCAGCAUUUAUCUGGACUUACAUUUUUGGGCUGAGCACUGCCUCGCCAGCCCCCUGGAGCUGGAUGAGGGCUACCCUCUGACUUUGGACUCAUCCAGUCUGCCGGUGCUGUGCGCCUUGCUCUGGUGCACUUGGGGCAGCGUCCAGAGCAGCAGGCAUGGGGUCCAAAGCCACUCACCGGAUGUCUGUGGGGUGGGAGAGGUGGCCGGGCACUGGCUGAGAAGCAGAGGCAACCUGAGUUCAGCAUUAGGACACCAGUGGGCCAGCAGAUCCCUGCCUGGUCCUGAUCACAGAGGCAUCCUUAAUUUGACCUUGGAAUCUAGCGUGAAUUUCUGUGGUUGUGUAAGGGUCAGAGCUGGGGUGGGGAUCCUCGUGGGGAAGUUAAGGGCUGACAAGUGCAGUGAUAGGUCCUAACAUUCCUAGCCCUUUGCA